Sinocyclocheilus rhinocerous is the source of this 216-nucleotide long non-coding RNA. RefSeq lists it as uncharacterized. NCBI's taxonomy places the organism in Eukaryota, Metazoa, Chordata, Actinopteri, Cypriniformes, Cyprinidae. The transcript is spliced from 3 exons. The record is from RefSeq and is a predicted model, not a curated record.
AGCAGACAGUAUGAAUUUCCCCAUUGAAGAAUGUUUGCCAAACAAGAUGUCCUUAAAGUUCUCGUCUCCCACUGCACUGCCUGGAGAGAGGACAUCUCUUAACCUGAAAGCCAGCCCUGGCUCCUUGUGCUCCGUGCGGGCCAUUGAUCAGAGUGUGCUGCUGUUGAGACCAGAGGCCGAGCUGGAUGCAGCCUCUGUCCUUGGAAUGUUACCAGU